CAUCCAUUCCGCGUGCAGGACGAAGGCCUUCGGGUUGUAAACUGCUUUUGUACAGAACGAAAAGCUUGGGUUAAUACCCUGAGGUCAUGACGGUACUGUAAGAAUAAGCACCGGCUAACUACGUGCCAGCAGCCGCGGUAAUACGUAGAGUGCAAGCGUUAAUCGGAAUUACUGGGCGUAAAGCGUGCGCAGGCGGUUUUGUAAGACAGAGGUGAAAUCCCCGGGCUCAACCUGGGAACUGCCUUUGUGACUGCAAGGCUAGAGUGCGGCAGAGGGGGAUGGAAUUCCGCGUGUAGCAGUGAAAUGCGUAGAUAUGCGGAGGAACACCGAUGGCGAAGGCAAUCCCCUGGGCCUGCACUGACGCUCAUGCACGAAAGCGUGGGGAGCAAACAGGAUUAGAUACCCUGGUAGUCCACGCCCUAAACGAUGUCAACUGGUUGUUGGGUCUUCACUGACUCAGUAACGAAGCUAACGCGUGAAGUUGACCGCCUGGGGAGUACGGCCGCAAGGUUGAAACACAAAGGAAUUGACGGGGACCCGCACAAGCGGUGGAUGAUGUGGUUUAAUUCGAUGCAACGCGAAAAAUCUUAACCAACUUUGACAUGGC
RNAcentral lists this ribosomal RNA (607 nucleotides) under uncultured bacterium. Its description in RNAcentral is "bacterial SSU rRNA". It matches the Rfam family "Bacterial small subunit ribosomal RNA", at positions 389 to 990 of the family's 1533-position model. The record is from RNAcentral.